Long non-coding RNA from Rhinolophus ferrumequinum (greater horseshoe bat), 1956 nucleotides. RefSeq lists it as uncharacterized. The record is from RefSeq and is a predicted model, not a curated record. The transcript has 3 exons. NCBI's taxonomy places the organism in Eukaryota, Metazoa, Chordata, Mammalia, Chiroptera, Rhinolophidae.
AAAUUCCUAUUUUUGAGUGCUAAGUGCCAGGCACUAUUCUGGGUGUUGGACAUACAGCAAUGAACAAUUCUUGGAGGAGAAAAUAAAUAUAACAAAACCAAAUGUUAAGUGCUGGGAAGAAAAAAGUAAGACAGGAAGGGAAUAGGGAGUGAUGAUGAAGCUGCUGUCAUCAUUAAUAGGGUAGCCAGGGAAGGCUUCCUGGAGUGACAUUUGCAGAGACCAUAGGAAGUGAGACAGAAAUCCAAGCAGACAUGAGAUAAGAGUUCCAGACAUUAGAAAGGGCAGCUGCAAAGUCGGUGAAACAGCCUAAUAGUGGUUAAAGUUAAAUGAACAAAAGGAAGAGCAGGUCAGAGAGGUAGUGCAAUCCUGUGAUGUAAGGCCUGUAGUCCUUUAAAAAAAAGAUUUUCACUUUUACUCUGAGAUGGGAAGUCAUUUGAGAGUUUGUAGCAUCGAAGUGACAGGAUCUAGAUUAGGUUUUUAUUAGGCUCACUUUGGUUGCUGGAUUGAGAUUGGACCUGUUGGCAGUAAUCCAGGAGAAAGACUGAUGACUUGGUGGUAAAAUGGAUUUGAGAAGUGGCUAGAUUGGGGAUCUAUUUAAAAACCAAUAGGAUUUGCUGUCAUACUGGCUUGGGGAGGAAUGGCCCCAAGGCUUUGAGGCUGAUUAAAGAUGCGUUACCAUUACCAAAUGGGAAGACUUGCGUUGGGGCGUAAAGCUCGGGUUUUGGCCUAAUAGAUAUUCAAACCUUGUCAAGGCGGCAUCUAUUUGAGUCUAGGUUUCAGGGGAGGGGCUGGGCCGGGGAUAUAAAUCUGGAAGUCCUCAGUAUACAGCAUUUAAAACUCGUGAGACUAGAUGAAAAACUGUCACCAAGAAAGUGAGUGUAGCUAGAAAAGAGGUCGAAAGGCAGAGUAGUGGGACACUCCAACAUCUAGAGAGACUGGGGAACUUAGGGCGGAAGGAGGAAAGCAAACGGAGACGUACUGGCUACAGAGGUUGGCGGUGCACUGUGAUGACCUGGACGUCCGUGAGGGAACUAUUCGAGAAGACUGAUAAACGUGUCCAGUGCUGCUAGCAGGUCAGCCAGUCUGCCCGAAGGGCCUGCAAGAUCCCCACCAGAAGCAGGCUGCAUGGAGAAGACUUGAAGUACCAGUGAGCUAAAGAGAACAUUUCUGGGCUGGAUCAGAGAUGAGACAGAAAAAAGACAGAUUUGAAGCAUGAAAGGGACUCCAACCCAAAGUUUCUGGCUUUGAAGACAGAGGAAGGAAGCCUCAAGUGAUUGAAUACAGCAGUGGCCGGUAGGAGCAGGAAAUAACCCUCAGCAGACAGCCAGUAAGAAGGCAAGAAACUUAGUCUUACCACAUAGGGAAGUGAAUUGUUAACAACCCGAAUGAGCUGGAAUCGGUCUCUCCUGUACAGCCUCUAGAAAGGAACACAGCCUGUCAACCCAUUGAUUUACAGGAUUUCUGACCUCCAGAACUGAAAGAUAAUAAAUCUGUGUUAUUUGAAGCUGCUAGGCUGUGAUAAUUUGUUAUGGCGGCAAUAAAAAACUAAUACAACACCUAUUUGGGGGUUCAUCCUUUUCAUGGAUUUCUCCUUGGAUUAUCCCCCUUAACUUUUCAAUUCCAGUGGCCUCAAACUCUGUUUUCUGUCCCCUUCAAGCCACUCAGGUUGUGGUGGCUGUCUGCCGUUAGAGCUGCUCAUGGAUUGGGGUUGCCCUCAGGUGAAAAGCCACAAACUCACAAAUCUCAACAAUUUCCAUUCCUUUCAAGAGUGGUCUCCUCUCCAGUUUUUGCCUUCUUUUGGUCCAUCUCCAAGGCCUUCAAAUAACUUUUUAAAAUAUUUCGCUUAGACUUUUAUCAUUGUUAUGUGCAGGUAUGUUAGCCAACCAUUACCAAAAGCUAGACCCUCAUUAUAUUCUUCUGCCUACUUUCAUGUUUGCAAUGUUCCAUAAUAAAAUA